This 379-nucleotide ribosomal RNA is filed under the name Bacillus oceani (ex Liu et al. 2013) (nom. illeg.). RNAcentral describes it as "bacterial SSU rRNA". It matches the Rfam family "Bacterial small subunit ribosomal RNA", at positions 1056 to 1436 of the family's 1533-position model. The record is from RNAcentral. Lineage: Bacteria; Bacillati; Bacillota; Bacilli; Caryophanales; Bacillaceae.
CAGCUCGUGUCGUGAGAUGUUGGGUUAAGUCCCGCAACGAGCGCAACCCUUGAUCUUAGUUGCCAGCAUUCAGUUGGGCACUCUAAGGUGACUGCCGGUGACAAACCGGAGGAAGGUGGGGAUGACGUCAAAUCAUCAUGCCCCUUAUGACCUGGGCUACACACGUGCUACAAUGGACAGAACAAAGGGCAGCGAAACCGCGAGGUUAAGCCAAUCCCACAAAUCUGUUCUCAGUUCGGAUCGCAGUCUGCAACUCGACUGCGUGAAGCUGGAAUCGCUAGUAAUCGCGGAUCAGCAUGCCGCGGUGAAUACGUUCCCGGGCCUUGUACACACCGCCCGUCACACCACGAGAGUUUGUAACACCCGAAGUCGGUGAGGU